Molecule: long non-coding RNA, 1562 nt
Organism: Populus trichocarpa (black cottonwood)
Lineage: Eukaryota; Viridiplantae; Streptophyta; Magnoliopsida; Malpighiales; Salicaceae
Exons: 2
Source: RefSeq, a predicted model, not a curated record
AUCCAACAGCGAUAAAGGCUUGCUGGACCUGAACGAGAUCGAGAAGGUUCUCACUGAUCCGAGAGCGGAUGACGUGAAAGUUAUCAUAAAAGUCAUUUUAAAAAAUAAAAUUGUUAAUAUAGUUUUUUGAAUAGUAUAAAUAUAUUUUUAUAUGCAUUAAAAAAAAUCAUUUUAACAAUUUAUUUAUAAUUUAAUAUUAAUAUUUUUUAUUUUUUUGAGAAAAAUUAUGUAGACGAUAAAAUAAAUCCUUGAACAAUCUAUUUUAAUACUUUGAGCUUUUUUUUUAUAGAUAUAUUGAAAUCACCUUUCUUUAACUGAAAAACUAUUUUGAUUUUUUACUUGGCUAUCUCUUUGAAACUGCAAAAUCAUUGGAAAAAAAGCUUAAAAAAGAGUUUUUUACUUUGGCUACUCUCCCAUUAGGGAUGCCCUUACAUUGUAUUACUGGGCAGAGCAGGAGGGUUUGUGUUCGUUGUUUUGGAUAUUGGUUGAUAAUGGUUUCUUUGGUGUUUAAGAACAACAUGUGUUAAGAUGUUUGUUGAUUUUUCCAAGCAUUAAGAUUCCCGUUCAUGUCUUGAGUUUUUUAUUUGCACGGGCAGGCUAAGCAAAAGCAAAAGGGUGCUCGGCGAAUGACCCUCCCCGGCGUAGAAGGGCAAGAGGGAGGAAAGUGGAUUGUCAUUAACUCCGGUAAGGUGAUAGUUCAUGUUCUUGAUGAGGAGGCUCGAGCAGACUACGAUUUGGAAAGUCUUUGGACCUCAGAAACAUCUAAAGAGGAGCCAGUUCGGGUAAAAUGUAAAUUCGAGGACUACAAAUUUUAAACCUUUCUGGUCUUUAUCUGAUUUUUUGCCUCUCAACACGCACACCCACCCACCAACAUGACAUUGUAAGCUGGGUUCUCUUCUUUAUCUAGAAGAUAGAGGAAUGCAUUAGCACGAAUCGAGAUUGUUAGUUCAAUUAUUUUUAGCUAUUCAGGAAAAUUCAAUAUGCAUUUAGCAGAAGAGAAAUCCAAGUAUAAAAAAGCAAUUGAGCUCCAAUCUCUAGCAAGAUGGUUUAAAAUUUUAUCCCGGUUUCUAGAGCGAGAGAUGUAUGCAAAUUUGAGAAUAAUCUAGCUAUAACUGCAUCUCUUUUUUCAAUCAUUUCCACCUUUUAUCCAUUUUGCGUCUUCUAAAUCUGACAGUGGCUUUCUGAGUGUUUUACCCGUCGGCUUGAAGGGGAGAGACAGAGUUAAGAGUUUUCUAACCAAUUUAAUGAGCACUCUGCACAAAAUAUUCUCUGUGGUUAAGUUGCUGAUUAAUGUAUUGGUCUUGUGGAGUUCUAUAAACUUGCAUAUACGUGUAUGUAUAAGUUUCUGCAUGUGUGUAAUGUUUUUUCUGCCUGGUUUUUGGACGGGAUAGGUCCAUGACUCUGUGGUCUGUGGGGUAAUCUAUUGAUAACUGUCAUCUUAGUUGUACAGCAAAUUGUUAGAAACUUAGAAUUCAAUCUCAAUCCUUAUUUGGAAUGGCUUCUUACCAUGACAGGGUUUCCAAACUUUUUUUUAAAAUUAAAUAAUGGUCGUUUAUGAAUAA